This 66-nucleotide transfer RNA is filed under the name Marcia hiantina. Its description in RNAcentral is "tRNA-Asp". It matches the Rfam family "tRNA". From Rfam's summary of the family: Transfer RNA (tRNA) molecules are approximately 80 nucleotides in length. The record is from RNAcentral. Lineage: Eukaryota; Metazoa; Mollusca; Bivalvia; Venerida; Veneridae.
AAAUAAGGUAGUUUAAAAAAAUGUGAGAUUGUCAAUCUUAAGAUGCCAUAAGGUGGCCUUUAUUUU